UGCAGCCAAAUAUAGUUUGUG
Molecule: non-coding RNA, 21 nt
Filed under: Caenorhabditis elegans
Lineage: Eukaryota; Metazoa; Nematoda; Chromadorea; Rhabditida; Rhabditidae
Source: RNAcentral